AUUGAACGCUGGCGGCAGGCCUAACACAUGCAAGUCGAACGAGUGGCGGACGGGUGAGUAAUGUCUGGGAAACUGCCCGAUGGAGGGGGAUAACUACUGGAAACGGUAGCUAAAACCGCAUAUCAUCGGAUCUGCCAAGAUGGGAUUAGCUCGAAGGGGGGGGAACGGCUAACCCAGGCGACGAGCCCUAGCUGGUCUGAGAGGAUGACCAGCCACACUGGAACUGAGUCACGGUCCAGACUCCUACGGGAGGCAGCAGUGGGGAAUAUUGCACAAUGGGCGCAAGCCUGAUGCAGCCAUGCCGCGUGUAUGAAGAAGGUCUUCGGGUUGUAAAGUACUUUCAGCGAGGAGGCGUUACUCGCAGAAGAAGCACCGGCUAACUCCGUGCCAGCAGCCGCGGUAAUAC
RNAcentral lists this ribosomal RNA (406 nucleotides) under uncultured bacterium. RNAcentral describes it as "partial 16S ribosomal RNA". It matches the Rfam family "Bacterial small subunit ribosomal RNA", at positions 30 to 526 of the family's 1533-position model. The record is from RNAcentral.